Molecule: transfer RNA, 72 nt
Filed under: Phanerochaete sordida
Lineage: Eukaryota; Fungi; Basidiomycota; Agaricomycetes; Polyporales; Phanerochaetaceae
Description: tRNA-Thr
Rfam family: tRNA
About the family: Transfer RNA (tRNA) molecules are approximately 80 nucleotides in length. Their secondary structure includes four short double-helical elements and three loops (D, anti-codon, and T loops). Further hydrogen bonds mediate the characteristic L-shaped molecular structure. tRNAs have two regions of fundamental functional importance: the anti-codon, which is responsible for specific mRNA codon recognition, and the 3' end, to which the tRNAs corresponding amino acid is attached (by aminoacyl-tRNA synthetases). tRNAs cope with the degeneracy of the genetic code in two manners: having more than one tRNA (with a specific anti-codon) for a particular amino acid; and 'wobble' base-pairing, i.e. permitting non-standard base-pairing at the 3rd anti-codon position.
Source: RNAcentral
GCCUCGUUGGCGUAGUGGUAGCGCGUCGCACUUGUAAUGCGAAGGUCACUCGUUCAACCCGGGUACGAGGCA